Molecule: ribosomal RNA, 464 nt
Filed under: uncultured Planctomycetota bacterium
Lineage: Bacteria; Pseudomonadati; Planctomycetota
Description: bacterial SSU rRNA
Rfam family: Bacterial small subunit ribosomal RNA
Source: RNAcentral
UUCGCAAUGCCCGAAAGGGUGACGAAGCGACGCCGCGUGUGGGAAGAAGGCCUUCGGGUUGUAAACCACUGUCGGGAGUUAGGAAAUGUAAGGGUGUUAAUAGCAUCCUUACUUGACUAAGGCUCCGGAGGAGGCCACGGCUAACUCUGUGCCAGCAGCCGCGGUAAUACAGAGGCGGCAAGCGUUGUUCGGAAUUAUUGGGCGUAAAGAGCACGUAGGCGGCCUUGUAAGUCAGUUGUGAAAGCCUUCUGCUUAACGGAAGAACAGCAGCUGAUACUGCAAGGCUAGAGUGCGGAAGGGGAGAGUGGAACUUCUGGUGGAGCGGUGAAAUGCGUAGAUAUCAGAAGGAACACCGGCGGCGAAGGCGACUCUCUGGUCCGUAACUGACGCUGAGUGUGCGAAAGCUAGGGGAGCAAACGGGAUUAGAUACCCCGGUAGUCCUAGCCGUAAACGAUGGGCACUAA